AAGUCCCGCAACGAGCGCAACCCACGUCUUUAGUUGCCAGCAUUCAGUUGGGCACUCUAGAGAGACCGCCGGUGAUAAACCGGAGGAAGGUGUGGAUGACGUCAAGUCAUCAUGCCCCUUACAUCCUGGGCUACACACGUACUACAAUGCUACGGACAAAGGGCAGCAAACUCGCGAGAGCUAGCAAAUCCCAUAAACCGUGGCUCAGUUCAGAUCGUAGGCUGCAACUCGCCUACGUGAAGGAGGAAUCGCUAGUAAUCGCAGGUCAGCAUACUGCGGUGAAUACGUUCCCGGGCCUUGUACACACCGCCCGUCACACCAUGGAAGUUGGCCACGCCCGAAGCCGUUACUCCAACCCUUGUGGAGGAGGACGUCGAAG
Molecule: ribosomal RNA, 379 nt
Filed under: uncultured cyanobacterium
Lineage: Bacteria; Bacillati; Cyanobacteriota
Description: bacterial SSU rRNA
Rfam family: Bacterial small subunit ribosomal RNA
Source: RNAcentral